This 466-nucleotide ribosomal RNA is filed under the name uncultured bacterium. Its description in RNAcentral is "partial 16S ribosomal RNA". It matches the Rfam family "Bacterial small subunit ribosomal RNA", at positions 28 to 507 of the family's 1533-position model. The record is from RNAcentral.
GACGAACGCUGGCGGUGUGCUUAACACAUGCGAGUCGAACGGUAAGGCCCUUUCGGGGGUACACGAGUGGCGAACGGGUGAGUAACACGUGAGUAACCUGCCCUCAUCUCUGGGAUAACAGUCGGAAACGGUUGCUAAUACUGGAUAUGAGCUUGCAAGGCAUCUUGUGGGUUGGAAAGAUUUUUUUGGUUGGGGAUGGACUCGCGGCCUAUCAGCUUGUUGGUGAGGUAGUGGCUCACCAAGGCUUCGACGGGUAGCCGGCCUGAGAGGGCGACCGGCCACAUUGGGACUGAGAUACGGCCCAAACUCCUACGGGAGGCAGCAGUGGGGAAUAUUGCACAAUGGACGGAAGUCUGAUGCAGCAACGCCGCGUGCGGGAUGACGGCCUUCGGGUUGGAAACCGCUUUCAAUUGUGACGAAGCUUUUUGUGACGGUAGCAGUAGAAGAAGCACCGGCUAACUACGUG